AUGUUGCAGAUAUUAUAUUAUUAGGCAGCAGUUAUGUUCAUAAGCAGUUAUUGUAUAAAUAGGAAAACUGAUAGAAAAGUCAGAAGGGCAAUUAUUUGGGAAUUGGAUAUUGGUUGGGAGAGACCAAGCUCUGGAAGAGAGAGACCUGAGACUCUCGAAUUUCUUGGGAACCCAUUGUGUAAUCCUAUUCAAUCAUCAAUAAAAGUUUAUUUCCUUAAAUCUCUAUAUUUGGCACAGGUUUCUAUCAACUCCUAAAUUACAAUCAAAUCCUUUCUAUUAUGGACAUGAGGAGAAUGGCUUUUCCUCCACUCCUUGAAGUAGGCUCAUUUUCAUCAAAUCCCAGAAACUGUCCGGAGCUUCCAAAAAGUAGUUGAUUGGCAAAAAUGUUCUCUUGCGGAAUCCCAAGUAUUGAUGCAACAGGCUUCAUAACAAGUGUGCUAUAGUUAGAAACAAAAUGAAGUAUCUAAUCCAUUAUCCUGUAUGAAAAAGAGCCAGCAUACUUAUCUAAUGUCAAAAGCUUUGCCUAAAAUUCUUACAUGUUAUGGUGACAGAUUCUAUAUAUGCAAGGAUUGCAUGUACUGGUUUUCAAAUAUUUUUAGCUAGUACUCCAUGAAUUUAAAGAAAAUCAAUCCAAAUUCACUAUAUAUAAAUAA
Cicer arietinum (chickpea) is the source of this 653-nucleotide non-coding RNA. Lineage: Eukaryota; Viridiplantae; Streptophyta; Magnoliopsida; Fabales; Fabaceae. The record is from RefSeq and is a predicted model, not a curated record.